UUAACUAUUAUAUAGUACUCAGACGACACUGUAAUUCAGAAUUUGGGGUUCUCUGGCGAGCGCGCACCAGCCGAAGCCGGUAGCCCGAAGGCGGCUCGCCAAAGCAACAAAGGUAUGUAUAACAAAGGGUGGGAGGUCUACCCCGAAGGGCAUGAACUCUGUAAUGAUCCUUCCGCAGGUUCACCUACGGAAA
Molecule: unclassified non-coding RNA, 193 nt
Filed under: uncultured fungus
Lineage: Eukaryota; Fungi
Description: sequence contains ITS1
Source: RNAcentral